GACGAACGCUGGCGGCGUGCCUAAUACAUGCAAGUCGAACGAGAGCGCCCGGUGCUUGCACUGGUCAAUCUAGUGGCGAACGGGUGAGUAACACGUGGGUAACCUGCCCAUCAGAGGGGGAUAACAUCCGGAAACGGAUGCUAAAACCGCAUAGGUCUUCGAGCCGCAUGGCUUGAAGAGGAAAAGAGGCGCAAGCUUCUGCUGAUGGAUGGACCCGCGGUGCAUUAGCUAGUUGGUGAGGUAACGGCUCACCAAGGCCGUGAUGCAUAGCCGACCUGAGAGGGUGAUCGGCCACAUUGGGACUGAGACACGGCCCAGACUCCUACGGGAGGCAGCAGUAGGGAAUCUUCCGCAAUGGACGCAAGUCUGACGGAGCAACGCCGCGUGAGUGAAGAAGGUGUUCGGAUCGUAAAACUCUGUUGUUAGAGAAGAACAAGUGCUAGAGUAACUGUUAGCGCCUUGACGGUAUCUAACCAGAAAGCCACGGCUAACUACGUG
Molecule: ribosomal RNA, 498 nt
Filed under: uncultured bacterium
Lineage: Bacteria
Description: partial 16S ribosomal RNA
Rfam family: Bacterial small subunit ribosomal RNA
Source: RNAcentral